This 205-nucleotide long non-coding RNA is filed under the name Elaeis guineensis (African oil palm). RNAcentral's name for it is "long non-coding RNA (EGUI_LNC009830)". The record is from RNAcentral. Lineage: Eukaryota; Viridiplantae; Streptophyta; Magnoliopsida; Arecales; Arecaceae.
AUCUAAAUAUGAUAUAACAGCAUGCAUUUAAAUUUGAAAUUCAAAUUUGAAACAGUAAACUUUUUAGUAUACUGUGUUCAGAACACAUCACCUUUUGUGGGUAGUCGAUCACCGCAAUCUGAUCACCGUCGGAGGGACUCUAAUCGUCAUGUCACAGCCACACUAGUGUCCGACCUCCGCGGAUCAUCCACACGAAGCUCCCGUC